AAACUAACAAGGAUUCCCCUAGUAGCGGCGAGCGAAGCGGGAAGAGCUCAAAUUUGUAAUCUGGCGCUUUCAGCGUCCGAGUUGUAAUCUCUAGAAAUGUUUUCCGCGUUGCACCGCACACAAGUCUGUUGGAAUACAGCGGCACAGUGGUGAGACCCCCGUUCAUGGUGCGGAUGCGCAAUGCUUUGUGAUACAUUUUCGAAGAGUCGAGUUGUUUGGGAAUGCAGCUCAAAUUGGGUGGUAAAUUCCAUCUAAAGCUAAAUAUUGGCGAGAGACCGAUAGCGAACAAGUACCGUGAGGGAAAGAUGAAAAGCACUUUGGAAAGAGAGUUAACAGUACGUGAAAUUGUUGGAAGGGAAACGCUUGAAGUCAGACUUGCUGUUCGGAGUUCAGCCGCAAGGUGUACUCUCCGAGUUGCAGGCCAGCAUCAGUUUUUCGGGGUGGAAAAUCACGGUUUGAAGGUAGCAGUUUCGGCUGUGUUAUAGCUUUCCGUUGGAUACAUCCUGGGGGACUGAGGAACGCAGUGUGCUUUUAGCAGGGGUUUCGACCUCUCACACUAGG
Molecule: ribosomal RNA, 561 nt
Filed under: Rhodosporidiobolus colostri
Lineage: Eukaryota; Fungi; Basidiomycota; Microbotryomycetes; Sporidiobolales; Sporidiobolaceae
Description: partial large subunit ribosomal RNA
Rfam family: Eukaryotic large subunit ribosomal RNA
Source: RNAcentral